Non-coding RNA from Xyrichtys novacula (pearly razorfish), 21402 nucleotides. The record is from the annotation of a GenBank genome assembly. NCBI's taxonomy places the organism in Eukaryota, Metazoa, Chordata, Actinopteri, Labriformes, Labridae.
UUCUGAGGAGAACAUGAGCAGUGAAGAUUCACCUUGGAGCUAGAACAGGGACGUGCACAUGAUUAUACAGGGGCAGGGGCUCAAGAUUUUUCCAGUCAUUUAUACAAUAUGGAAAUUAAUGUGAAAUUAAACCACAAAUAUGUGUGAUGAACUGUUUUUAAAACUUAAACUUCAAAUAAAAAUUGUAAACUUCAAAACAUAUGCAAAUUUUUAACAAAGAACAUAGUAAUUUACCUCUAUUUACAUCAAAAUGCAGGCAAUGGCCCAGGCGUUCUUUGUAAAAUUAUUUACAAAACACUGUAUAGUCUCACAAAUGUCACUUUUUAUUUAUGCCACUACAAAAAAACAUGAUGUAAAUGAUGCAUGAUGUAAAACAUGAUGUAAAAAACUUGUGUAGAUCCUCCUCUAUGUCAGUCCAUGUGUAAUUUUUCCAUAAUUAUUUGUUUUUUGCAGCAUUUUUGUUAGUGUAACUGCAGAUUGUGCUGACAGUGUCUAUGGCACAAAAAAAAAAAAAAUUAAAAUGCCUCAACAUGAACCCCUGGUGGUCUCUGAGGGUGAAACCUGCUAACUGCUGCAGCUCUGUCAGCUUCAGUCUCCCAUGCAGAGCUCUGAGCGCAUGUGUGGCUCUGCACCCUUAGCAGCGUUGCUAACUCCUCAGUAAGGAAAGCCUGCUUCAUGUCAGAGUCUCUAAACUCCAGAAGAAGUCGAUAAAAGUCCCUUUCUUUCUAAAAAAGUCGUUAGGGUGUCUGAAAAGUCAUUGAAUCUAACAACAAAGUCGCUAGGUUUGCAACUACGUGUCCCAGACUGCAUCCCUGCUGAGAGUCCCUCCCUCCCUUCUCAUGUUGCAGGAAGAACGUAAGCGCCCGCCCCUUGUCAAUCAGUCACCAUAUAAUUUUGGAUUGGUUGUUGUGGUGAAGUUUUCCACCAAUAGGAGAGAUGUUGUGGUGUGUUUUUUUUUUCUUUUGGCAAGCCUUUUCCGCCUGUAAGACCUGUCGCUAAUGUCUGCAUGCUAUGUUUUCCUGUCUCAUACAGCGCGAUCGAGCGCCGAACGUGAUCAAAAUAAGCAGAAAAAAAGUAUCGCGGACAUAAUUUAUCAUAACUCUGGUUUUAUUUGGCCUAUCAACACAAUUUAAAAACUGGUAUAUAGGUUGAGGUCCUCACUUUUGAGAUAAGUUGAAACGGAGAGUCAACGAGGCUCCGUCUUGCAGCUACAUCCGGUUAAAUAUGUCAUGUGACUUGAACGCACACAUAGACACACACACACGCACACACACACACACACACACACACACACACACACACACACACACACACACACACACACUCAGAGUCUGGUUUUUAGCACCUGCAAAAACAUGCUAUUUACAUAUUUGACAAGAAUGCAGAGGCUCCUUUUGCCCCUGAAAAAAAUCAAAUUUCAAACACAACUUGACUGGUCAUUUCUCCAAAAGACAACCAUGAAGCUCCAUCCAAACCUGAAGCAGGCAGUUGGUGCAUGUGUACAGUAACCUGAGGGGAGUGAGGUGAGUGCUUCUGAGGAGAACAUGAGCAGUGAAGAUUCACCUUGGAGCUAGAACAGAGACAUGCACAUGAUUAUACAGGGGCAGGGGCUCAAGUUUUUUCCAGUCGUUUAUACAAUAUGGAAAUUAAUGUGAAAUUAAAACACAAAGUAUUAAUAGAAAGGUAAUGACUGUCCUGUGUAGGUGACAGUGAUAUCCAAUAGGCUAGGCACUCACGAGGCUGGCUGUGGCAAGUGUAAGUGAAAGCAACACGCACUGGCAGGAAGAACAGCAAACGCCGAUGAAGGAAAAGGGUCUUUGCAGUGAUGGGCGUUAACAGAGAGGGCGAUGGCCAGAGGACACAAAUGGGACGGGGAGGCAGCACGUUGGGGGGUGGGGGGGUGGGGGGGGGGAGACGCGACACGGCUCGGGCCCGCCAGUGCCCCAACGGGGUCCUAGUUAUUUUUCUGCCCCUUUGAACUGGAAAAUGGCCCACUUCCCACUGGUGAAAACUCAUGAAAUUUGGCAGGACGACCGGGCCUGGUGAAAAAUUCGAUAUUCUGAAGUCAUCCAAACAAUCAAAUGCAAAAUGGCUCCAUAGCGCCCCCUAAGGUGAAAAAUUCACAUGAUUGAGUGUCACGCCUGUACGCUUUGUCAAAAUGACACAAAAUUUGACACACACGUGUAUCUCAAUAAGAUCUACAAAAAAGUCAGUGCGGGCGUAUCUGUCAAAUGUACGGUUAAAGGGCUAUUUCGCAUUUUUUGCCGAUCCACACACAUUGGAAUUUCGCUAACUCCUCCGAAGGCUUUCGUUCCAAAGGCACCACAUUUGCUCAGGCCAAUCUACACCCCAUGGCCAUUAAAAGUUGUACAAAUCAUGACGCUGCACCCCACGGUUUACGUUCUAGGGGGCGCCAAAGAUAACCCAAAAAUCCACAGUCUUAAAAGUCUUAUAACUUUUUAUUUUUGUCCUCACUGGCCUCCAAGUUCUCUAGGAUGAUGCAAUGUCCAGCCAUCAACACAUUUGUGAAGGAAUUUUUACUCGCCAAAGAGCGCCCCCCCAUGGCAGGAGAAAAAAGUCCAUUUUUUCUUGUCUCCUAAGGCGAAAAUUCACACUAUUGAGUGUCACGCCUAUACGCUUUGUCAUAUUGACACAAAAAUUGACACACACAUGUAUCUCAAUAAGAUCUACAAAAAAGUCAGUGCGGGCGUAUCUGUCAAAUGUACGGUUAAAGGGCUAUUUCGCAUUUUUUGCCGAUCCGCACACAUUGGAAUUUCGCUAACUCCUCCGAAGGCUUUCGUUCCAAAGGCACCACAUUUGCUCAGGCCAAUCUACACCCCAUGGCCAUUAAAAGUUGUACAAAUCAUGACGCUGCACCCCACGGUUUACGUUCUAGGGGGCGCCAAAGAUAACCCAAAAAUCCACAGUCUUAAAAGUCUUAUAACUUUUUAUUUUUGUCCUCACUGGCCUCCAAGUUCUCUAGGAUGAUGCAAUGUCCAGCCAUCAACACAUUUGUGAAGGAAUUUUUACUCGCCAAAAGAGCGCCCCCCCAUGGCAGGAGAAAAAAGUCCAUUUUUUCUUGUCUCCUAAGGCGAAAAUACACAUUGUUGACUGUCACGCCUUUACGCUUUGUCAAAAUGACACAAAAUUUGACAAACACAUGUAUCUCAAUAAGAUCUACGAAAAAGUCAAUGUGAGCGUAUCUGUUCAAUGUACGGUUAAAGGGCUAUUUCGCAUUUUUGGCCGAUUCGCACACAUUGGAAUGUGGCUAACUCCUCCUAAAUCUUUUGUCCCAUCGGCUUCAAAUUUGCUCAGGUCAAUCUACACCCCAUGGCCAUUCAAAGUUGUACAAAUCAUGACACUGCACCCCACAGUUUACGUUCUAGGGGGCGCCAAAGAGGACCCAAAUAUCCACAUUUUUAAAAGUCUUAUAACUUUUUAUUUUUGUCCUCACUGGCCUCCAAGUUUUCUAGGAUGAUGCAAUGUCCAGCCAUCAACACAUUUGUGAAGGAAUUUUUUCUCCCCAAAAGAGCGCCCCCCCAUGGCAGGAGAAAAAGUCAAGUUUUCCUGCCCAUCGCUCAAUGGCUCAAACGCAUCGCUCUCUCGGCAAAACCGAAAGGAGGAGCAACUUGCCAUUUGGAUAUAUACUAGCUGUGUUUGUGCCCUCACUUAUGGUCCAGACUUUUUUCAAAAAGGACAUGGAGUUUGUCUGCAGCGAGCGUUUUGGUAGAAACUGCGCCUCCCAUUCAUUAUAAUGGUAAAUGACCACAGACAAGUGCGCACACCAUCUUUGGACCUUGAGUGUGACGCGAUCGGGAGGGGUAGGCGGUCGCGCUGGGGGCGGCACGACACGGCUCGGGCCCGCCAGUGCCCCAACGGGGCCCUAGUUAGGGCCCGAGCGUAGCUGCUAAGCAGCUGCGAGAGCCCUCUUGUUCCUGAUGGAUUCUUCUUUCGUUAUUUUUCCUCCGCUUUAAACUGGAAAAUGGCCCACUUCCCACUGGCGAAAACUCAGGAAAUUUGGCAGGACGACCGGGCCUGGUGAAAAAUUUGAUAUUCUGAAGUCGUCCAAACAAAAAAAUGAAAAAUGGCUCCAUAGCGCCCCCUAUGGUGAAAACUCACCUGAUGCCUGUACGCUUUGUCAAAAUGACACAAAAUUUGACACACAUGUGUAUUUCAAUAAGAUCUACGAAAAAGUCAGUGCGGGCGUAUCUGCCAAAUGUACGGUUAAAGGGCUAUUUCGCUUUUUUUGCCGAUCCGCACACAUUGGAAUUUCGCUAACUCCUCCGAAGGCUUUCGUUCCACCGGCACCACAUUUGCUCAGGCCAAUCUACACCCCAUGGCCAUUAAAAGUUGUACAAAUCAUGAUGCUGCACCCCACGGUUUACUUUCUAGGGGGCGCCAAAGAUAACACAAAAAUCCACAUUCUUAAAAGUCUUAUAACUUUUUAUUUUUGUCCUCACUGGCCUCCAAGUUUUCUAGGAUGAUGCAAUGUCCAGCCAUCAACACAUUUGUGAAGGAAUUUUUACUCCCCAAAAGAGCGCCCCCCCAUGGCAGGAGAAAAAAGUCCAUUUUUUCUUGUCUCCUAAGGUAAAAAUACACAUUGUUGAGUGUCACGCCUAUACACUUUGUCAUAUUGACACACAAUUUGACAAUCACGUGUAUCUCAAUAAGAUCUACAAAAAAGUCAAUAGGCACGUAUCUGUCAAAUGUAUGGUUAAAGGGCUAUUUCGCAUUUUUUGCCGAUUCGCACACAUUGGAAUGUGGCUAUCUCCUCCUAAGGCUUUCGUCCCACCGAUACCAAAUUUGCUCAGGGCAAUCUACACCCCAUGGCCAUUCAAAGUUGUAGAAAUCAUGACGCUGCACCCCACGGUUUACGUUCUAGGGGGCGCCAAAGAUGACCCAAAAAUCCACAUUCUUAAAAGUCAUUUUGGCCACUGCAGGAGUACAGAGUACUGCAGUUCUAGGGGGCGCCAAAGAUGACCCAAAAAUCCACAUUCUUAAAAGUCUUUUUGGCCACUGCAGGAGUACAGAGUACUGCCGGACACACACACAUAUACACACACGCCACACACACACACACACACACACACACACACACACACACACACACACACACACUCAGAGUCUGUUUUUUAGCACCUGCAAAAACAUGCUGUUUACAUAUUUGACAAGAAUGCAGAGGCUUCCUUUUGCCCCUGAAAAAAAUCAAAUUUCAAACACAACUUGACUGUUCAUUUCUCCAAAAGACAACCAUGAAGCUCCAUCCAAACCUGAAGCAGAUAGUUGGUGCAUGUGUACAGUAACCUGAGGAGAGUGAGGUGACUACUUCUGAGGAGAACAUGAGCAGUGAAGAUUCACCUUGGAGCUAGAACAGGGACGUGCACAUGAUUAUACAGGGGCAGGGGCUCAAGUUUUUUCCAGUCAUUUAUACAAUAUGGAAAUUAAUGUGAAAUUAAACCACAAAUAUGUGUGAUGAACUGUUUUUAAAACUUAAACUUCAAAUAAAAAUUGUAAACUUCAAAACAUAUGCAAAUUUUUAACAAAGAACAUAGUAAUUUACCUCUAUUUACAUCAAAAUGCAGGCAAUGGCCCAGGCGUUCUUUGUAAAAUUAUUUACAAAACACUGUAUAGUCUCACAAAUGUCACUUUUUAUUUAUGCCACUACAAAAAAACAUGAUGUAAAUGAUGCAUGAUGUAAAACAUGAUGUAAAAAACUUGUGUAGAUCCUCCUCUAUGUCAGUCCAUGUGUAAUUUUUCCAUAAUUCUUUGUUUUUUGCAGCAUUUUUGUUAGUGUAACUGCAGAUUGUGCUGACAGUGUCUAUGGCAAAAAAAAAAAAAAAACUGAAAAUGCCUCAACAUGAACUCCUGGUGGUCUCUGAGGGUGAAACCUGCUAACUGUGCAGCUCUCUCAGCUCUAGUCUCCCAUGCAGAGCUCGGAGCGCAUGUGUGGCUCUGCACCCUUAGCAGCGUUGCUAACUCCUCAGUAAGGAAAGCCUGCUUCAUGUCAGAGUCUCUAAACUCCAGAAGAAGUCGAUAAAAGUCCCUUUCUUUCUAAAAAAAAGUCGUUAGGGGGUCUGAAAAGUAAUUGAAUCUAACAACAAAGUCGCUAGGUUUGCAACUACGUGUCCCAGACUGCAUCCCUGCUGAGAGUCCCUCCCUCCCUUCUCAUGUUGCAGGAAGAACGUAAGCGCCCGCCCCUUGUCAAUCAGUCACCAUAUAAUUUUGGAUUGGUUGUUGUGGUGAAGUUUUCCACCAAUAGGAGAGAUGUUGUGGUGUGUUUUUUUUUUCUUUUGGCAUGCCUUUUCCGCCUGUAAGAGCUGUCGCUAAUGUCUGCAUGCUAUGUUUUCCUGUCUCAUACAGCGUGAUCGAGCGCCGAACGUGAUCAAAAUAAGCAGAAAAAAAGUAUCGCGGACAUAAUUUAUCAUAACUCUAGUUUUAUUUGGCCUAUCAACACAAUUUAAAAACUGGUAUAUAGUUUGAGGUCCUCACUUUUGAGAUAAGUUGAAACGGAGGGUGAACGAGGCUCCCUCUUGCAGCUACAUCCGGUUAAAUAUGUCAUGUGACUUGAACGCUGGGGAGCGUCAAUCGACUGCAGAGCCAGCAGACAAAGUAGUUAUGCCACUAAGAGGCACACAUUUGUCAUAUGCUAUAAUCCUAACAUAUUUUAAUGCUUUUUCUAUUUAAACCUAAUGGAUCUAAGGUUUGACCUUCAAAAUUUAGGAAGAAUAUUUUUUUGCAGUAAUGACCCCCUUAAACAACCAGAGGUCCUUUCCUAAAGAUUAUGGAAAUUUUAGUGAAGGCCUUGGUUUCUUUCCUUGCAAAAUGUAUAGAAAUAAUAAAGCUAAAUACCAUAAAAUGGUCUUGGCGUAUUAGCAGUGAUAUAAAAUAGUGGUUUGAAUAUGAAUGAACAACAAAAAAAAACAUCAACAGAGCCUUUUUGAGUUGGGAUUCUUUCAUUAUCACACAAAAACAGACAUAGACAGACAUCUAAAGGGUAAGGGAAUGAUCAGCCCUCCUAACUCUCAGAUGAAUCUUCAAAAUUCACCGCAGAAAUAUGCUUAUUAUUCUUCUCAGAGUACUGCAAGAUAUAUACAAACACACACAGACACACACACACACACACACACACACACACACACACACACACUCAGAGUCUGUUUUUUAGCACCUGCAAAAACAUGCUAUUUACAUAUUUGACAAGAAUGCAGAGGCUCCUUUUGCCCCUGAAAAAAAUCAAAUUUCAAACACAACUUGACUGCUCAUUUCUCCAAAAGACAACCAUGAAGCUCCAUCCAAACCUGAAGCAGGCAGUUGGUGCAUGUGUACAGUAACCUGAGGGGAGUGAGGUGACUGCUUCUGAGGAGAACAUGAGCAGUGAAGAUUCACCUUGGAGCUAGAACAGGGACGUGCACAUGAUUAUACAGGGGCAGGGGCUCAAGUUUUUUCCAGUCAUUUAUACAAUAUGGAAAUUAAUGUGAAAUUAAAAAACAAAGUAUUAAUAGAAAGGUAAUGACUGUCCUGUGUAGAUGACAGUGAUAUCCAAUAGGCUAGGCACUCACGAGGCUGGCUGUGGCAAGUGUAAGUGAAAGCAACACGCACUGGCAGGAAGAACAGCAAACGCCGAUGAAGGAAAAGGGUCUUUGCAGUGAUGGGCGUUACCAGAGAGGGCGAUGGCCAGAGGACACGAAUGGGACGGGGAGGCAGCGCGUUGGGGGGGGGGGCGGCGCGACACGGCUCGGGCCCGCCAGUGCCCCAACGGGGCCCUAGUUAGGGCCCGAGCGUAGCUGCUAAGCAGCUGCGAGAGCCCUCUUGUUCCUGUAGUUUCCUUCUUUUGUUAUUAUUAUUAUUAUUAUUAUUUUUCCUCCCCUUUGAACUGGAAAAUGGCCCACUUCCCACUGGCGAAAACUCAUGAAAUUUGGCAGGACGACCGGGCCUGGUGAAAAAUUUGAUAUUCCGAAGUCGCCCAAACCAGAAAAUUCAAAAUGGCUCCAUAGCGCCCCCUAAGGUGAAAAUUCACACUAUUCACUGUCACGCCUGUACGCUUUGUCAAAAUGACACAAAAAUUGACACACACAUGUAUCUCAAUAAGAUCUACAAAAAAGUCAGUGCGGGCGUAUCUGUCAAAUGUACGGUUAAAGGGUUAUUUCGCAUUUUUUGCCGAUCCGCACACAUUGGAAUUUCGCUAACUCCUCCGAAGGCUUUCGUUCCACCGGCACCACAUUUGCUCAGGCCAAUCUACACCCCAUGGCCAUUAAAAGUUAUUCAAAUCAUGACGCUGCACCCCACGGUUUAGGUUCUAGGGGGCGCCAAAGAUAACCCUAAGAUCCACAUAUUUAAAAGUCUUAUAACUUUUUAUUUUUGCCCUCACUGGCCUCCAAGUUUUCUAGGAUGAUGCAAUGUCCAGCCAUCAACACAUUUGUGAAGGAAUUUUUACUCCCCAAAAGAGCGCCCCCCCAUGGCAGGAGAAAAAAGUCCAUUUUUUCUUGUCCCCUAAGGUGAAAAUACACAUUGUUGAGUGUAACACCUGUACGCUUUGGCAAAAUGACACAAAAAUUGACACACACAUGUAUCUCAAUAAGAUCUACGAAAAAGUCAAUGCGCGCGUAUCUGUCAAAUGUACGGUUAAAGGGUUAUUCCGCAUUUUUUGCCGAUCCGCACACAUUGGAAUUUCGCUAACUCCUCCGAAGGCUUUCGUUCCACCGGCACCACAUUUGCUCAGGCCAAUCUACACCCCAUGGCCAUUAAAAGUUAUUCAAAUCAUGACGCUGCACCCCACGGUUUAGGUUCUAGGGGGAGCCAAAGAUAACCGUAAAAUCCACAUAUUUAAAAGUCUUAUAACUUUUUAUUUUUGUCCCCACUGGCCUCCAAGUUUUCUAGGAUGAUGCAAUGUCCAGCCAUCAACACAUUUGUGAAGGAAUUUUUACUCGGCAAAAGAGCGCCCCCCCAUGGCAGGAGAAAAAAGUCAAUUUUUUCUUGUCCACUAAGGUGAAAAUACACAUUGUUGAGUGCUACGCCUGUAUGUUUUGUCGUAUUGACACAAAAUUUUACAUACACGUGUAUUUCAAUAAGAUCUUCGAAAAAGUCAAUGGCCACGUAUCUGUAAAAUGUACGGUUAAAGGGUUAUUUCGCAUUUUUUGCCGAUCCGCACACAUUGGAAUUUCGCUAACUCCUCCGAAGGCUUUCGUUCCACCGGCACCACAUUUGCUCAGGCCAAUCUACACCCCAUGGCCAUUAAAAGUUAUUCAAAUCAUGACGCUGCACCCCACGGUUUAGGUUCUAGGGGGCGCCAAAGAUAACCCUAAGAUCCACAUAUUUAAAAGUCUUAUAACUUUUUAUUUUUGCCCUCACUGGCCUCCAAGUUUUCUAGGAUGAUGCAAUGUCCAGCCAUCAACACAUUUGUGAAGGAAUUUUUACUCCCCAAAAGAGCGCCCCCCCAUGGCAGGAGAAAAAAGUCCAUUUUUUCUUGUCCCCUAAGGUGAAAAUACACAUUGUUGAGUGUAACACCUGUACGCUUUGGCAAAAUGACACAAAAAUUGACACACACAUGUAUCUCAAUAAGAUCUACGAAAAAGUCAAUGCGCGCGUAUCUGUCAAAUGUACGGUUAAAGGGUUAUUCCGCAUUUUUUGCCGAUCCGCACACAUUGGAAUUUCGCUAACUCCUCCGAAGGCUUUCGUUCCACCGGCACCACAUUUGCUCAGGCCAAUCUACACCCCAUGGCCAUUAAAAGUUAUUCAAAUCAUGACGCUGCACCCCACGGUUUAGGUUCUAGGGGGAGCCAAAGAUAACCGUAAAAUCCACAUAUUUAAAAGUCUUAUAACUUUUUAUUUUUGUCCCCACUGGCCUCCAAGUUUUCUAGGAUGAUGCAAUGUCCAGCCAUCAACACAUUUGUGAAGGAAUUUUUACUCGGCAAAAGAGCGCCCCCCCAUGGCAGGAGAAAAAAGUCAAUUUUUUCUUGUCCACUAAGGUGAAAAUACACAUUGUUGAGUGCUACGCCUGUAUGUUUUGUCGUAUUGACACAAAAUUUUACAUACACGUGUAUUUCAAUAAGAUCUUCGAAAAAGUCAAUGGCCACGUAUCUGUAAAAUGUACGGUUAAAGGGUUAUUUCGCAUUUUUUGCAGAUUCGCACACAUUGGAAUUUCGCUAAUUCCUCCGAAGGCUUUCGUUCCACCGGCACCACAUUUGCUCAGGCCAAUCUACACCCCAUGGCCAUUAAAAGUUAUUCAAAUCAUGACGCUGCACCCCACGGUUUAGGUUCUAGGGGGCGCCAAAUAUAACCCUAAAAUCCACAUAUUUAAAAGUCUUAUAACUUUUUAUUUUUGUCCUCACUGGCCUCCAUGUUUUCUAGGAUGAUGCAAUGUCCAGCCAUCAACACAUUUGUGAAGGAGUUUUUUCUCUUUAAAAGAGCGCCCCCCAUGGCAGGAGAAUAAAGUCAAGUUUUUCCUGUUCAUCAUUCAAUGGCUCAAACGCACUGCUCUCUCGGCAAAAGCGAAAGGAGGAGCAACUUGCCAUUUGGAUAUAUCUUAGCUGUGUUUGUGCCCUCACUCAUGGUCCAGACUUUUUUCAAAUAGGACAUGGAGUUUUUCUGCAGCGAGCGUUUUGGUAGAAACUGCGCCUCCCGUUCAUUAUAAUGGUAAAUGACCACAAACAAGUGCGCACACCAUCUUUGGACCUUGAGUGUGACGCGAUCGGGUGGGGGAGGCGGUCGCGCUGGGGGCGGCGUGACACGGCUCGGGCCCGCCAGUGCCCCAACGGGGCCCUAGUUCUUUCUUUCUUUCUUCUUUUUCCUCCCCUUUGAACUGGAAAAUGGCCCACUUCCCACUGGCGAAAACUCAUGAAAUUUGGCAGGACGAUCGGGCCUGGUGAAAAAUUCGAUAUUCUGAAGUCGCCCAAACAAUAAAAUGCAAAAUGGCUCCAUAGCGCCCCCUAAGGUGGAAAUUCACACUAUUGACUGUCACGCCUGUACGCUUUGUCAUAUUGACACAAAAAUUGACACACAUAUGUAUCUCAAUAAGAUCUACAAAAAAGUCAGUGCGGCCGUAUCUGUCAAAAUUACGGUUAAAGGGUUAUUUUGCAUUUUUUGCCGAUCCGCACACAUUGGAAUUUCGCUUACUCCUCCGAAGGCUUUCGUUCCACCGGCACCACAUUUGCUCAGGCCAAUCUACACCCCGUGGCCAUUAAAAGUUAUCAAAAUCAUGACGCUGCACCCCAAGGUUUAGGUUCUAGGGGGCGCCAAAGAUAACACUAAAAUCCACAUAUUUAAAAGUCUUAUAACUUUUUAUUUUUGUCCUCACUGGCCUCCAAGUUUUCUAGGAUGAUGCAAUGUCCAGCCAUCAACACAUUUGUGAAGGAAUUUUUACUCACCAAAAGAGCGCCCCCCCAUGGCAGGAGAAAAAAGUCCAUUUUUUCUUGUCCCCUAAGGUGAAAAUACACAUCGUUGAGAUUCACGCCUAUACGCUUUGUCAAAAUGACACAAAAAUUGACACACACAUGUAACUCAAUAAGAUCUACGAAAAAGUCAACGCGCGCGUAUCUGUCAAAUGUACGGUUAAAGGGUUAUUCCGCAUUUUUUGCCGAUCCGCACACAUUGGAAUGUGGCUAACUCCUCCUAAGGCUUUCGUUCCACCGGCACCACAUUUGCUCAGGCCAAUCUACACCCCAUGGCCAUUAAAAGUUGUACAAAUCAUGACGCUGCACCCCACGGUUUAGGUUCUAGGGGGCGCCAAAGAUAACCCUAAAAUCCACAUAUUUAAAAGUCUUAUAACUUUUUAUUUUUGUCCUCACUGGCCUCCAAGUUUUCUAGGAUGAUGCAAUGUCCAGCCAUCAACACAUUUGUGAAGGAAUUUUUACUCCCCAAAAGAGCGCCCCCCCAUGGCAGGAGAAAAAAGUCAAUUUUUUCUUGUCCCCUAAGGUGAAAAUACAUAUUGUUGAGAUUCACGCCUAUACGCUUUGUCAUAUUGACACAAAAUUUGACAAUCACGUGCCUUGCCUGGUAUCAUUUUUUUCAGCACAACCUCACCUGUGCGAAUUUACAGUUAUUUUAUCAUGUUGACAUACUGAAUUUACACAAUGGACCCAAAUUCACACACAAAACAUAAAAUCCGAGUGGAAAAAAGUAACAUUUUUACUGUGAAAACCACAAAUAUGUGUGAUGAACUGUUUUUAAAACUUAAACUUCAAAUAAAAAUUGUAAACUUCAAAACAUAUGCAAAUUUUUAACAAAGAACAUAGUGAUUUACCUCUAUUUACAUCAAAAUGCAGGCAAUGGCCCAGGCGUUCUUUGUAAAAUUAUUUACAAAACACUGUAAAGUCUCACAAAUGUCACUUUUUAUUUAUGCCACUACAAAAAAACAUGAUGUAAAUGAUGCAUGAUGUAAAACAUGAUGUAAAAAACUUGUGUAGAUCCUCCUCUAUGUCAGUCCAUGUGUAAUUUUUCCAUAAUUCUUUGUUUUUUGCAGCAUUUUUGUUAGUGUAACUGCAGAUUGUGCUGACAGUGUCUAUGGCACAAAAAAAAAAAAAAAAUUAAAAUGCCUCAACAUGAACCCCUGGUGGUCUCUGAGGGUGAAACCUGCUAACUGCUGCAGCUCUGUGAGGUUCAGUUUCCCAUGCAGAGCUCUGAGCGCAUGUGUGGCUCUGCACCCUUAGCAGCGUUGCUAACUCCUCAGUAAGGAAAGCCUGCUUCAUGUCAGAGUCUCUAAACUCCAGAAGAAGUCGAUAAAAGUCCCUUUCUUUCUAAAAAAAAGUCGUUAGGGGGUCUGAAAAGUCAUUGAAUCUAACAACAAAGUCGCUAGGUUUGCAACUACGUGUCCCAGACUGCAUCCCUGCUGAGAGUCCCUCCCUCCCUUCUCAUGUUGCAGGAAGAACGUAAGCGCCCGCCCCUUGUCAAUCAGUCACCAUAUAAUUUUGGAUUGGUUGUUGUGGUCAAGUUUUCCACCAAUAGGAGAGAUGUUGUGUGUUUUUUUUUUCUUUUGGCAAGCCUUUUCCGCCUGUAAGACCUGUCGCUAAUGUCUGCAUGCUAUGUUUUCCUGUCUCAUACAGCGCGAUCGAGCGCCGAACGUGAUCAAAAUAAGCAGAAAAAAAGUAUCGCGGACAUAAUUUAUCAUAACUCUGGUUUUAUUUGGCCUAUCAACACAAUUUAAAAACUGGUAUAUAGGUUGAGGUCCUCACUUUUGAGAUAAGUUGAAACGGAGAGUCAACGAGGCUCCGUCUUGCAGCUACAUCCGGUUAAAUAUGUCAUGUGACUUGAACGCACACACAGACACACACACACGCACACACACACACACACACACACACACACACACACACACACACACACACACACACACACACACUCAGAGUCUGGUUUUUAGCACCUGCAAAAACAUGCUAUUUACAUAUUUGACAAGAAUGCAGAGGCUCCUUUUGCCCCUGAAAAAAAUCAAAUUUCAAACACAACUUGACUGGUCAUUUCUCCAAAAGACAACCAUGAAGCUCCAUCCAAACCUGAAGCAGGCAGUUGGUGCAUGUGUACAGUAACCUGAGGGGAGUGAGGUGAGUGCUUCUGAGGAGAACAUGAGCAGUGAAGAUUCACCUUGGAGCUAGAACAGAGACAUGCACAUGAUUAUACAGGGGCAGGGGCUCAAGUUUUUUCCAGUCGUUUAUACAAUAUGAAAAUUAAUGUGAAAUUAAAACACAAAGUAUUAAUAGAAAGGUAAUGACUGUCCUGUGUAGGUGACAGUGAUAUCCAAUAGGCUAGGCACUCACGAGGCUGGCUGUGGCAAGUGUAAGUGAAAGCAACACGCACUGGCAGGAAGAACAGCAAACGCCGAUGAAGGAAAAGGGUCUUUGCAGUGAUGGGCGUUACCAGAGAGGGCGAUGGCCAGAGGACACGAAUGGGACGGGGAGGCAGCGCGUUGGGGGGGGGGGGGGUGCGACACGGCUCGGGCCCGCCAGUGCCCCAACGGGGUCCUAGUGUUAUUAUUAGGGCCCGAGCGUAGCUGCUAAGCAGCUGCGAGAGCCCUAUUAUUCCCCAAGUGGUUUUUUAGGGCCCGAGCGUAGCUGCUAAGCAGCUGCGAGAGCCCUAUUAUUCCCCAAGUGGUUUUUCUUUGUUUCUUUCUUUCUUUAGGGCCCGAGCGUAGCUGCUAAGCAGCUGCGAGAGCCCUAUUAUUCCCCAAGUGGUUUUUCUUUGUUUCUUUUUUCUUUUUCCUCCCCUUUGAACUGGAAAAUGGCCCACUUCCCACUGGCGAAAACUCAUGAAAUUUGGCAGGACGACCGGGCCUGGUGAAAAAUUUGAUAUUCCGAAGUCGCCCAAACAAUAAAAUGCAAAAUGGCUCCAUAGCGCCCCCUAAGGUGAAAAUUCACAUGACGGCUGUACGCUUUGUCAUAUUGACACAAAAUUUGACACACACAUGUAUCUCAAUAAGAUCUACAAAAAAGUCAGUGCGGGCGUAUCUGUCAAAUGUACGGUUAAUGGGUUAUUUUGCAUUUUUUGCAGAUCUGCACACAUUGGAAUUUCGCUAACUCCUCCGAAGGCUUUCGUUCCACCGGCACCACAUUUGCUCAGGCCAAUCUACACCCCAUGGCCAUUAAAAGUUAUUCAAAUCAUGACGCUGCACCCCACGGUUUAGGUUCUAGGGGGCGCCAAAAAUAACCCUAAAAUCCACAUAUUUAAAAGUCUUAUAACUUUUUAUUUUUGUCCUCACUGGCCUCCAAGUUUUCUAGGAUGAUGCAAUGUCCAGCCAUCAACACAUUUGUGAAGGAAUUUUUACUCCCCAAAAGAGCGCCCCCCCAUGGCAGGAGAAAAAAGUCCAUUUUUUCUUGUCCCCUAAGGUGAAAAUACAUAUUGUUGAGAUUCACGCCUAUACGCUUUGUCAUAUUGACACAAGAUUUGACAAUCACGUGCCUUGCCUGGUAUCAUUUUUUUCAGCACAACCUCACCUGUGCGAAUUUACAGUUAUUUUAUCAUGUUGACAUACUGAAUUUACACAAUGGACCCAAAUUCACACACAAAACAUAAAAUCCGAGUGGAAAAAAGUAACAUUUUUACUGUGAAAACCACAAAUAUGUGUGAUGAACUGUUUUUAAAACUUAAACUUCAAAUAAAAAUUGUAAACUUCAAAACAUAUGCAAAUUUUUAACAAAGAACAUAGUGAUUUACCUCUAUUUACAUCAAAAUGCAGGCAAUGGCCCAGGCGUUCUUUGUAAAAUUAUUUACAAAACACUGUAUAGUCUCACAAAUGUCACUUUUUAUUUAUGCCACUACAAAAAAACAUGAUGUAAAUGAUGCAUGAUGUAAAACAUGAUGUAAAAAACUUGUGUAGAUCCUCCUCUAUGUCAGUCCAUGUGUAAUUUUUCCAUAAUUCUUUGUUUUUUGCAGCAUUUUUGUUAGUGUAACUGCAGAUUGUGCUGACAGUGUCUAUGGCACAAAAAAAAAAAAAAAUUUAAAAUGCCUCAACAUGAACCACUGGUGGUCUAUUAGGGUGAAACCUGCUAACUGCUGCAGCUCUGUCAGCUUCAGUCUCCCAUGCAGAGCUCUGAGCGCAUGUGUGGCUCUGCACCCUUAGCAGCGUUGCUAACUCCUCAGUAAGGAAAGCCUGCUUCAUGUCAGAGUCUCUAAACUCCAGAAGAAGUCGAUAAAAGUCCCUUUCUUUCUAAAAAAAGUCGUUAGGGGGUCUGAAAAGUCAUUGAAUCUAACAACAAAGUCGCUAGGUUUGCAACUACGUGUCCCAGACUGCAUCCCUGCUGAGAGUCCCUCCCUCGCUUCUCAUGUUGCAGGAAGAACGUAAGCGCCCGCCCCUUGUCAAUCAGUCACCAUAUAAUUUUGGAUUGGUUGUUGUGGUGAAGUUUUCCACCAAUAGGAGAGAUGUUGUGGUGUGUUUUUUUUUUCUUUUGGCAAGCCUUUUCCGCCUGUAAGACCUGUCGCUAAUGUCUGCAUGCUAUGUCUUCCUGUCUCAUACAGCGCGAUCGAGCGCCGAACGUGAUCAAAAUAAGCAGAAAAAAAGUAUCGCGGACAUAAUUUAUCAUAACUCUGGUUUUAUUUGGCCUAUCAACACAAUUUAAAAACUGGUAUAUAGGUUGAGGUCCUCACUUUUGAGAUAAGUUGAAACGGAGAGUCAACGAGGCUCCGUCUUGCAGCUACAUCCGGUUAAAUAUGUCAUGUGACUUGAACGCACACACAGACACACACACACGCACACACACACACACACACACACACACUCAGAGUCUGGUUUUUAGCACCUGCAAAAACAUGCUAUUUACAUAUUUGACAAGAAUGCAGAGGCUCCUUUUGCCCCUGAAAAAAAUCAAAUUUCAAACACAACUUGACUGGUCAUUUCUCCAAAAGACAACCAUGAAGCUCCAUCCAAACCUGAAGCAGGUAGUUGGUGCAUGUGCACAGUAACCUGAGGGGAGUGAGGUGAGUGCUUCUGAGGAGAACAUGAGCUGUGAAGAUUCACCUUGGAGCUAGAACAGAGACAUGCACAUGAUUAUACAGGGGCAGGGGCUCAAGUUUUUUCCAGUCGUUUAUACAAUAUGGAAAUUAAUGUGAAAUUAAAACACAAAGUAUUAAUAGAAAGGUAAUGACUGUCCUGUGUAGGUGACAGUGAUAUCCAAUAGGCUAGGCACUCACGAGGCUGGCUGUGGCAAGUGUAAGUGAAAGCAACACGCACUGGCAAGAAGAACAGCAAACGCCGAUGAAGGAAAAGGGUCUUUGCAGUGAUGGGCGUUACCAGAGAGGGCGAUGGCCAGAGGACACAAAUGGGACGGGGAGGCAGCACGUUUGGGGGGGGGACGCGACACGGCUCGGGCCCGCCAGUGCCCCAACGGGGUCCUAGUUAGGGCCCGAGCGUAGCUGCUAAGCAGCUGCGAGAGCCCUCUUGUUCCUGUAGUUUCCUUCUUUUGUUAGGGCCCGAGCCAGCUGCAGAGCAGCCGGGCGUAGGCCCUAUUAUUCCCCAAGUGGUUUUUCUUUGUUUCUUUCUUUCUUUCUUUAGGGCCCGAGCCAGCUGCAGAGCAGCCGGGCGUAGGCCCUGUUAUUCCUGUAGGGGUUUUUCUUUGUUAGGGCCCGAGCGUAGCUGCUAAGCAGCUGCGAGAGCCCUAUUAUUCCCCAAGUGGUUUUUCUUUGUUUCUUUCUUUCUUUCUUUCUUUCUUUCUUCUUUUUCCUCCCCUUUGAACUGGAAAAUGGCCCACUUCCCACUGGCGAAAACUCAUGAAAUUUGGCAGGACGACCGGGCCUGGUGAAAAAUUCGAUAUUCUGAAGUCACCCAAACAAUAAAAUGCAAAAUGGCUCCAUAGCGCCCCCUAAGGUGGAAAUUCACACUAUUGACUGUCACGCCUGUACGCUUUGUCAUAUUGACACAAAAAUUGACACACAUAUGUAUCUCAAUAAGAUCUACAAAAAAGUCAGUGCGGCCGUAUCUGUCAAAAUUACGGUUAAAGGGUUAUUUUGCAUUUUUUGCCGAUCCGCACACAUUGGAAUUUCGCUAACUCCUCCGAAGGCUUUCGUUCCACCGGCACCACAUUUGCUCAGGCCAAUCUACACCCCGUGGCCAUUAAAAGUUAUCAAAAUCAUGACGCUGCACCCCAAGGUUUAGGUUCUAGGGGGCGCCAAAGAUAACACUAAAAUCCACAUAUUUAAAAGUCUUAUAACUUUUUAUUUUUGUCCUCACUGGCCUCCAAGUUUUCUAGGAUGAUGCAAUGUCCAGCCAUCAACACAUUUGUGAAGGAAUUUUUACUCCCCAAAAGAGCGCCCCCCCAUGGCAGGAGAAAAAAGUCCAUUUUUUCUUGUCCCCUAAGGUGAAAAUACACAUUGUUGAGUGUCACGCCUAUACGCUUUGUCAUAUUGACACAAAAAUUGACACACAUAUGUAUCUCAAUAAGAUCUACAAAAAAGUCAGUGCGGCCGUAUCUGUCAAAAUUACGGUUAAAGGGUUAUUUUGCAUUUUUUGCCGAUCCGCACACAUUGGAAUUUCGCUAACUCCUCCGAAGGCUUUCGUUCCACCGGCACCACAUUUGCUCAGGCCAAUCUACACCCCGUGGCCAUUAAAAGUUAUCAAAAUCAUGACGCUGCACCCCAAGGUUUAGGUUCUAGGGGGCGCCAAAGAUAACACUAAAAUCCACAUAUUUAAAAGUCUUAUAACUUUUUAUUUUUGUCCUCACUGGCCUCCAAGUUUUCUAGGAUGAUGCAAUGUCCAGCCAUCAACACAUUUGUGAAGGAAUUUUUACUCCCCAAAAGAGCGCCCCCCCAUGGCAGGAGAAAAAAGUCCAUUUUUUCUUGUCCCCUAAGGUGAAAAUACACAUUGUUGAGUGUCACGCCUAUACGCUUUGUCAUAUUGACACAAAAUUUGACAAUCACGUGCCUUGCCUGGUAUCAUUUUUUUUCAGCACAAUCUCACCUGUGCGAAUUUACAGUUAUUUUAUCAUGUUGACAUACUGAAUUUACACAAUGGACCCAAAUUCACACACAAAACAUAAAAUCCGAGUGGAAAAAUGUAACAUUUUUACUGUGAAAACCACAAAUAUGUGUGAUGAACUGUUUUUAAAACUUAAACUUCAAAUAAAAAUUGUAAACUUCAAAACAUAUGCAAAUUUUUAACAAAGAACAUAGUGAUUUACCUCUAUUUACAUCAAAAUGCAGGCAAUGGCCCAGGCGUUCUUUGUAAAAUUAUUUACAAAACACUGUAUAGUUUCACAAAUGUCACUUUUUAUUUAUGCCACUACAAAAAAACAUGAUGUAAAUGAUGCAUGAUGUAAAACAUGAUGUAAAAAACUUGUGUAGAUCCUCCUCUAUGUCAGUCCAUGUGUAAUUUUUCCAUAAUUCUUUGUUUUUUGCAGCAUUUUUGUUAGUGUAACUGCAGAUUGUGCUGACAGUGUCUAUGGCACAAAAAAAAAAAAAAAUUUAAAAUGCCUCAACAUGAACCACUGGUGGUCUAUUAGGGUGAAACCUGCUAACUGCUGCAGCUCUGUCAGCUUCAGUCUCCCAUGCAGAGCUCUGAGCGCAUGUGUGGCUCUGCACCCUUAGCAGCGUUGCUAACUCCUCAGUAAGGAAAGCCUGCUUCAUGUCAGAGUCUCUGAACUCCAGAAGAAGUCGAUAAAAGUCCCUUUCUUUCUAAAAAAAAGUCGUUAGGGGGUCUGAAAAGUCAUUGAAUCUAACAACAAAGUCGCUAGGUUUGCAACUACGUGUCCCAGACUGCAUCCCUGCUGAGAGUCCCUCCCUCCCUUCUCAUGUUGCAGGAAGAACGUAAGCGCCCGCCCCUUGUCAAUCAGUCACCAUAUAAUUUUGGAUUGGUUGUUGUGGUGAAGUUUUCCACCAAUAGGAGAGAUGUUGUGGUGUGUUUUUUUUUUCUUUUGGCAAGCCUUUUCCGCCUUUAAGACCUGUCGCUAAUGUCUGCAUGCUAUGUUUUCCUGUCUCAUACAGUGCGAUCGAGCGCCGAACGUGAUCAAAAUAAGCAGAAAAAAAGUAUCGCGGACAUAAUUUAUCAUAACUCUGGUUUUAUUUGGCCUAUCAACACAAUUUAAAAACUGGUAUAUAGGUUGAGGUCCUCACUUUUGAGAUAAGUUGAAACGGAGAGUCAACGAGGCUCCGUCUUGCAGCUACAUCCGGUUAAAUAUGUCAUGUGACUUUAACGCACACACAGACACACACACACGCACACACACACACACACACACACACACACACACACACACACACACACACACACACACACACUCAGAGUCUGGUUUUUAGCACCUGCAAAAACAUGCUAUUUACAUAUUUGACAAGAAUGCAGAGGCUCCUUUUGCCCCUGAAAAAAAUCAAAUUUCAAACACAACUUGACUGGUCAUUUCUCCAAAAGACAACCAUGAAGCUCCAUCCAAACCUGAAGCAGGCAGUUGGUGCAUGUGUACAGUAACCUGAGGGGAGUGAGGUGAGUGCUUCUGAGGAGAACAUGAGCAGUGAAGAUUCACCUUGGAGCUAGAACAGAGACAUGCACAUGAUUAUACAGGGGCAGGGGCUCAAGUUUUUUCCGGGUCGUUUAUACAAUAUGGAAAUUAAUGUGAAAUUAAAACACAAAGUAUUAAUAGAAAGGUAAUGACUGUCCUGUGUAGGUGACAGUGAUAUCCAAUAGGCUAGGCACUCACGAGGCUGGCUGUGGUAAGUGUAAGUGAAAGCAACACGCACUGGCAAGAAGAACAGCAAACGCCGAUGAAGGAAAAGGGUCUUUGCAGUGAUGGGCGUUACCAGAGAGGGCGAUGGCCAGAGGACACAAAUGGGACAGGGAGGCAGCACGUUGGGAGGGGGACGCGACACGGCUCGGGCCCGCCAGUGCCCCAACGGGGUCCUAGUUUCUUUCUUUCUUCUUUUUCCUCCCCUUUGAACUGGAAAAUGGCCCACUUCCCACUGGCGAAAACUCAGGAAAUUUGGCAGGACGACCGGGCCUGGUGAAAAAUUUGAUAUUCCGAAGUCGCCCAAACAAGAAAAUGCAAAAUGGCUCCAUAGCGCCCCCUAAGGUGAAAAUUCACACUAUUGACUGUCACGCCUGUACGCUUUGUCAAAAUGACACAAAAAUUGACACACACAUGUAUCUCAAUAAGAUCUACAAAAAAGUCAGUGCGGGCGUAUCUGUCAAAUGUACGGUUAAAGGGUUAUUUCGCAUUUUUUGCCGAUCCGCACACAUUGGAAUUUCGCUAACUCCUCCGAAGGCUUUCGUUCCACCGGCACCACAUUUGCUCAGGCCAAUCUACACCCCGUGGCCAUUAAAAGUUAUCAAAAUCAUGACGCUGCACCCCAAGGUUUAGGUUCUAGGGGGCGCCAAAGAUAACACUAAAAUCCACAUAUUUAAAAGUCUUAUAACUUUUUAUUUUUGUCCUCACUGGCCUCCAAGUUUUCUAGGAUGAUGCAAUGUCCAGCCAUCAACACAUUUGUGAAGGAAUUUUUACUCCCCAAAAGAGCGCCCCCCCAUGGCAGGAGAAAAAAGUCCAUUUUUUCUUGUCCCCUAAGGUGAAAAUACACAUUGUUGAGUGUCACGCCUAUACGCUUUGUCAAAAUGACACAAAAAUUGACACACACAUGUAACUCAAUAAGAUCUACGAAAAAGUCAAUGCGCGCGUAUCUGUCAAAUGUACGGUUAAAGGGUUAUUCCGCAUUUUUUGCCGAUUCGCACACAUUGGAAUUUCGCUAACUCCUCCGAAGGCUUUCGUUCCACCGGCACCACAUUUGCUCAGGCCAAUCUACACCCCAUGGCCAUUAAAAGUUAUUCAAAUCAUGACGCUGCACCCCACGGUUUACGUUCUAGGGGGCGCCAAAGAUAACCCAAAAAUCCACAUUUUUAAAAGUCUUAUAACUUUUUAUUUUUGUCCUCACUGGCCUCCAAGUUUUCUAGGAUGAUGCAAUGUCCAGCCAUCAACACAUUUGUGAAGGAAUUUUUACUCCCCAAAAGAG